Molecule: long non-coding RNA, 18268 nt
Filed under: Coffea arabica (coffee)
Lineage: Eukaryota; Viridiplantae; Streptophyta; Magnoliopsida; Gentianales; Rubiaceae
Description: long non-coding RNA (CARA_LNC005183)
Source: RNAcentral
UUUUUUUUUUUUUUUUUUUUUUUUUUGGUCAUUUGCUAGAAGAAAUUAUUUAGAAAUCAUAUCAUGGAAUGAUCGGUGUUCAAAUUUUUUUUUUUUUUUUAAAAAAAUUUUGCUGACCGAACCUGUCAACAUUAAUAGAAUGUGAUAGAACAGUAGGCCCUUCAAUGGAGGCAUAUAUUAUUGUAAUAGUAAUAUGAGGUUUAGCAAUGAUAGCAUUAUCAGACAAAAUAUCUCUUGUUUCCUAAUUCUUUAAUACAUAUUUUAGGUACAUCAGCAAAUUUCUUUUGCGUAUUUGAUUCCGAUGGGGACUGUGGUGGAGGGAAGAGGCAUGGCAAUAUUAUUAUGGCAAUGGGUCGUUGGACUCAAGGUCAAGGUGCAUGAACCAAAACUACUGAUUCGAAUUUUCAUUAUUGAGUUUUAAUCGUAGCUUGUUGCAGGAAGAGAUCUUCCUUCACCUGUUUCAUUCCUGAUUUGCUUCCAAAAAAAAAAAAAUAAUAAUGAUGAUGAUAAAGGAAGAGCCCCCAUUGUCACAUGACAUCCGUCAGAAGAUAACAGCUCCAAAAUUCAGAAGCAGUGGGGGUGCCCGCUGCCCACCCCCAGAAAAAUGUAAAAAAAAAAAAAUGUUCGUAUCACCACGCACCUUUACUUCAUCAACUCAAAGAGGAUUACUCCACACCACUUGGCAUUCGGAUCUCAUCCCCCUCGUAACAACUAACAACGCAGCAGUAUACAAGUACAACCCCACGGGAUGACUGCUUCAUUGGCACGCGUCGCGAGGAGCUGGAUUAGGAUUAAGUGUAGCAAGAAAGAAAGAAUGAGAGAUCAAAGACGGUAGUCGGAGUAUGCAGUCACGCUGCCGGCCGGAGCAGUAAUGACCGAAUGUGCUCAUGCACUGCACCAAAUGAAAUAUGUCAGCCGCGGAUGAUGAUAACGUUUUGCACGCUAAAAGUGAAAAAAAAAAACAGAGAAAGAAAUCUAAUUUGACGAUCGAAAGGGUCCGUCUCAUGAGACAAAAGUAAGAACGGACAGUAAAAAGGAUUGAGCACUCAGUGUUUGAUCAACGCUCGUCUGUCAGUCUGCUGAACAGAAACCUUCACUCACACCUCUGAAACAGAAAUUUGAGCAACUAGUACUCAAAAGAGUGUUUUCAAUUUCGGCCAUACUAACAACAGGGUUGGUCCGAGUGGUAAGCGGCUCGGAUUUGCUUAAACAGGUCUCGUGUUCGAGUUCUAAUGUACGUAGAUACUCCUGUUGGAAGAUUCACCCACUAUAGUCAGGUGCGCUACGCGGGUUGGGUCCGGAUUAGUUAGGGCAAAGCUUCGGAUACCGGGCAGACAACCAAAAAAAAAAUUUCGGCCACCCUCAAAAGAGCAGAAAAUAAUACUCCAUAAUAAUAAUAAUAAAGGUCUCUUCACCAAAAUGGCCGAUCAUAAAUUCCAUCUCAUCUUUGGCUGUGCCAUGUGAUUAGCAUUAACUCUUUCGUUUUGCUAAGACAUUUAUGUGCACUUUGAAAAUUUUACUACUACUUAACCCGCUUCCCCACCUUUUUUUUUUUUCUUCUUAGAAAAAGACGAAGCCAACGCUCAAGAAUAAGGCUGUAGUGAAACUGAGACUAGUAGCCUCACAACCAGGCUCAAGAGUAUAUAAAGAAUUGUUUGAACUCUGUUUAAUUAGUUUUUUAAUGCACCAAAAAAGGAAAAAGGGAAGAAGAAUUCUUAGCACUGCUCUUUUAUCUACUGGGUACUUUCUCCUUCGUCUCAAUCUCAAAAGCUCGUAGUAAAGACUAUGUUUGGGCCGGUACAAAAUGAAGUGGGCUCAUCGAAGGCAUUCUCUCGUGGACUUGACUGGUUAAUCCCAAUCUAACAUGGACACCGAUACAUUCGUAAUUGUUUAUCACUUUCCGCUGCCUAUAUUUACCUAUAUCUCCUUUUUUUUAAAAAAAACAAUUUUUCCGGAUGGACAAACACUGCUCGAGAAUCCCCAAUGAGCUGCUUGCAAGAAUUAAAUCCAUAGCCUCUGGCUGCCUUUUGCAGUUUUAGCUCUCCCUUUUUCUAUCUCACUUUUCUGAAGCAAAAUAGGCUAGCCUGUUUAUCUGUUUACCCGAAGAGUGGGGGAUUUUGCAAUUUCAAUGUUCAGUAGUUCGAACCAAACAUCAUACCAAACAAAUCACUUAAAAAAAAAAAGGAAAGGAAAUUAGACCCAAAAUAAUCGGGGUAAAUACUAGACAAUAACAGAUAGGACAAAAACAGAAUUUCUAAUAACAGAUAAGAUAAAAUCUCAUUCUUUUCCUGUUAAAAAUAAAUAAUUUUUUUUUAAAAAAAAAGAUAAGUAAAGAAAAGUGAAAAUGAAUAAGCAGUGGACUAAACGCUAAACAAAAAGCACGCCUUUCCGCAGUCCCAGGCUUGUCGGUGAAUUUCAGUAAUCUUCGAGGGGUAGAAAAGAGGGAAAGCCCCACUCUUACCGACAUCCCAAACAAGGCGGCCUGAAUUGAUGAUUGCGUGGUCGUGGACAGGAGUGUGGCCCAAAGAGCAACACUCAUUGAUGACUUCACAGCUGUAUCACAACCCCGCAGCCUGCAGCCUCCCAAGAAAACACACACACACAGUCACAUACACCCUUCACCCACUGCUGCACCUGCCUGCAUGGCAUGUGACUCCUUGUCCCUACACCACCUUCCCCUUUUCUCUGGAAUAGCGUAAUUUGCUGCUCCUACUUCCCACACAGUGUACUGCCCAAACACAGUCGAAUUCACUCUUCCCUCCUAGAAAGAAAAUUGUUCGUUCAAAGUUCAACUACCCAACUUUGGCCAUGGAUAGCUCCAAAUGCUGCUACCUUUGGUUUUGGGCUUGCAGUUUUCUCCUCAUCCUCACGUCCAAGUCACUCGUACUUCAUAGAGUUUUAGCUCAACCUGAGGAAGCUGCCACUUUACAGCUCAAAGCUGAUUCCUCGGAAUGGCCAGCGGGGAUGAUGUCCCUCUACGACGCUGCGGAUGAUGUAGUCGGAGACAAUGACGACGACAUGGAAAUGGACGAGGAUGCCGUGUCUAGUUCCAGGAGAUCGCUGUUUUGGCGGAGAGUGAGGUACUACAUUUCAUACGCGGCCCUGUCGGCGAAUAGGAUCCCCUGUCCCCCUCGCUCCGGCAGGUCCUACUACACCCAUCACUGCUAUUUCGCCAGCGGCCCAGUCCACCCUUAUAACCGAGGUUGCUCCGCCAUCACCCGUUGCCGCAGAUAAACUAUUCCCUUCGCCUUUCAUCUUGUGUCUGCGUGGUGGUUUCUUUUUAUUUGUGCGUCUGCUUAUCGUUUGCUUUCUGGUCUCGAAAACUGUCGUCACACACCCCUGUUUUCUUGAGUGCUUUUAUAUUUUUCUGAUCCGUGCCUUCAAUUUAAAUUGUUUGUUAAUUUAAAACUGGAUAGAAUUUGCUGAGUCUUGAGAGGGAGAGACGAUCAUUUUCGAGGUGUAAGCUGCUAAUGAAUUUAUCCUAGCAAGCACUGCUUAUUUUUGCAUGCAUUCUCGAACAAAUUCGUUGUUAGUAAUUAGACUCUCAGUUAUUAGAGAGAUAUGGUGCCGUCUGUAGGAUACAAUUUGCCUUCGUGUUAACGUUAAUCUUUCGGGGAAUCAGGCAAUAAACUGGAAAUUGCAAGUUCAGGAAACCCGAAUGCAGCACACUCGACACAAAGUGAAGAAGUUGCGGUGCAGGCAAACCCAUAGUCAUGACCAUGCCCAAUUUCCAAAUGACCAUCUUGAAAGCUGGGGGGGGGGGGAACCAAUUGACCAAACCUUCCUGGUUCCCUCAGCGACCUCCAUUAAUUCCUCAGCUACCAAUUACGUACUACUCCUCCGUCCGUUCAUUUUGAUAGUCUUAGUUUUUUUUUCAUACGAUUUUAAAAAAAGUAGUUAACUUUGUUGAAACAAUCAAUUUAGGUAACUAUUUUCCUAAAAUAUUCUCACAUUAAUUAGAGUAUAACUUUAUGGGAACUUGAAUUGAUGGUAAAAAAUAAAUAAACUCUCAUUAAAUGGAGUAGGUUUAUAGUAAUAACAACUUACAUUAAAUAAGGAUAUUUUAAGAAAAUUAAAAUAUAAUUACAUUCUUCAAUUGGAAAGUGAAUUACAAUUUGGGACAGAUAAAAAAGGAAAACAGGACUAUCAAAGUGGUGGGAUGGAAGGAGUAGUUACUACCACCGAUCAGUAGACUAAAUACUUGAAGACCUGGCAAAUUGCUAUAUCUAUCGAAUAGGAAUUUAGUAGUCGUAAAUAAGUGGCAAAAUAUUAUUGGGUUUGGUAGUUAGUUACCAAUCCAAUACUGGUCCUGCUUCCGGGAUGGGAAUCUGUUUCAACAAUCUUUUUUUAACCUACUGGUAUAUAGUAUCUUGGAUGGCUAGCACUAACAAAAUUGUGAGGAUAUUGCCUGGCAUACGUCUAGCAUUUUCAAGCUUCUUCACCGUGUUGACCAUUAUUCUUCUCUUGCUGAAUCUUUUCUGCCCAUCUUUCCGCCUUCUUUUUUUUUGUUUUUUUUUUUUGUUUUUAGGCUUCCUUGGUAUAUUGACCAAUGUCCCUUGCAAUCCAGUUCAUGCUAAAAUCUAUGCCUAUUAGUUGUCUUUCCUGCUGUUCUGGGGUAAAGACUACGAGAGAGUGUUUUUGCUUUCAAGCAUGCAUAUAAAUCUUGCCGCUGCCAUCGUUAAAGUUAAAAAUUAAACCAAACAUUUUAAGCUCGACUUAAUUACCUAAUCAUCCCAACAAUAGAUUUUGUUGACUUCCAGAGUCGUCAGCAAUGUAGUAUCUACAGUUGAUAAAUGGCAAACACCGUGCCAGCCCAAUAUAGGCCUGUAUCGACGGGCGGGUUCGAGCCGGAAUUAAUAAAUUAGGAUCCGGAUCCAUCGUACUGUAUUAAUUUCGGAUCCGACCCAAAUACCCGACAGAUCUCCUAAUCUCUCUAUCGGACCCGCACUCGACGGUCCCGAAUCCGGGUCGGACCUACCCGGAAAAAGGCAAAAUACCAGAAUGGAGGCUUGCUUGCUUCUAUUUCAAAAGGAAGGUUCCCAGCUACAGAUCCAGAAUAUAGCUGAAAAUUGAGCAAAAAGAAUAAGAAAAAUUCUAUGAGGUUGUGGCUUCAUUAUUAAAGCUUGAAGAGCGAAAAGUGGAGGCUCAAAUUGGAGUAUGACAUCAAGACAGGCUAAAACCGCCAUGGCUACAAACAACAGUUGCCGCAUGAGAGAAAUCAGAUAAAGAACCCAAAAGGAAAAAUGAACCAAAAGUGCCCAGUUUUCCUUUUGAGCCCUCUGCAUAUCCCUCACAGACCCUCCAGAGUUCACCAAGCCAAGCUACGGAAAAGCUCAAAAUCUUGAUUUCUAUUUAGUUUCGUAUUGAUAAUAAACAAAAAAAAAAUCAUCACAGCCUUAGAUAAGUAGUCGGUUCUUAAAUUCACGGUCUUUAACAAAGACAAAAUACCAUAAUGGAGGCUUUCACCUCACCAUGCUUUUUACAAACUCUUACGGUAUUGAAAAAUUAAAAAAUAUAUAUAUCUAUGAUUGUGAGAAAGAAAGCUGGGCUGCUAGAAGCCUGGAAGAGUUGGGCUUCUUUGGAGCUGCAACCGUCAGGCAUCAGAGAUGGAGAGAGCUCGCCGGUUUCACAAUGGACUGGCGGAAGCAGAGCAAAAGAGAAGAGAGUGAGACUGGAAUUGGAAGAGCUGGAAGGCAACGGGCUUCUCUGGCCACUGGCGAAGGAGGGAGGCAGAGCAAAAGAGAAAAGAGAGUGAGGGGAAAAAGGGAUGUGUGGCGGUGGUGGGUAUUAGGGUUGGAAAUAUUUGGGAAUGAAAGAAGUAGAGAUGUAGUAUUGAUAUGAAUAAUUAUGAUAGAUUGAUAUAUAUUUUGUAAGUAUUAAUUAAUUAAAAUUGGUUCAGGUCGAAUACGGGUCGAAAUGAUAUAUUUCGUAUUCGAUUCGUAAAUUAAUUAGAUAAAAUGGGUCUGGAUCCGAAUUCGGGUCACGAAUCUAUACACUUAUUCGUACCAAGAAAAUGUUGGCGGUCCGAUUCGGCCGUUGACAGCCCUAGCCCAAUAGACCCUAAUAUGACUCAUUGCUCAUAGAAAGAAAGAAAGACAAAUGGAUUGGAGCAGGAAUUGGACCUGAUAACCGUUGAAAUCACUAGUCCGUUGCAUGUUAUGGGUCAGAACUCGGAUUUCUAUUUUUUCUUGUGCUUAGCCUAGAAAAUCUGUACUAAAUUCUGUUUUUUUUUUUAAUUAAAAAAAAGGGUGGGAGUACCUUUCAUUUUUUGGGCUGAAAUCACAGCCCAUAUGCCAAAUGUACGGUUUUAGAACUCAUUUCUGUCAGCCACUGAAUAGGAGGAAAGGCCACCAGCCUUUGGGCCUGGUGGCCACUGCCAUGUACUUGGUGGGCUCUCACCAAAUUGUCAGUGUAUGUAGCUGUUUUCAAUGGUUUUCUCCAAUGAAAUUUCUAUUCUCAUUGCUCCUCCUCCCCCUAGAUUAAGAUUGAUUAGAUUAUAGAAAUAUUACCUUUGUGAUAAAAAAAAAAAAAGAAUAGGAGGAAAGGACUCUUACAAAAAAAUAAUAAUAAUAACAAGGAUUCUUCUCUCUUUUGUACCCCAAAAAAAGCAAAGGAAAAAAAUAAUGCCACUGUUAAUUGCGUUGUCCCACAGCUUGCGAUUUUUGAACAUAUCACUCAAAUCAUAUAGAAAAGGUAAUGUCAUUGUUAGCACAUGCAAUUAAAUCUGAACCGAGAAUUAUGUUGCAAUUUGUUUGAAGAAUUAUGCAGUUUCAUGUCUCAUAUGAAGCCCUCAAGUUGUUUGUCCCAAAAAAAAAAAUAUAUAUAUAUAUAUAUCUGACGAGACGCGGCAAGACAACAAGUGUCUUAGAAGGCCUAUAGCUCAAGAUACAGCCUACAGGAAGGAAGAAUUGAUGGGUACAGCCUACAGCUUCCCCAUAAUUGGAGGAGGCCCGUGAACUAACAACACUUGCACCGUGGACCAGAACUUGAUGGGCUCACUCACAAUCCAUGUGAGCUCCUUCUCCGGACCCGCUAAUAAUAUUAAAAUCCUUUUCCGUUCCAAGAAACUGACCGGUAUGCCAUUACUGACCGCACCGUGUUGGUAGACCACGUGCUCCUCACCUCUCGCAUAUAUUUGGAGUUUGGACCGUCCGCCGCACGUGUUAUUUAUUUAUUAUUAUAUACUCAUAUUUUUUGAAUAAGUAACUGGUUUGAAUCUCAUCUAACCCUUGCGAUUGUGAGUAGGUGACACAACAUAUUAUUAUUAGGAUUGAAUUUUUUGUGCACUAUUACUGUAGAAUUCAUUUCCUUUUUUUUUUUAAAAAAAAAAAUUUAACACUGACUGAGCGUCGAUGAAUGCCACAAAUAUAAAAAAUAAAUUCUAAAUUCAAUUGAAAAUUAUGUAGCAUGCAUCUAAUUUUGUUAGAGUAACGAAAUUUUUACACCGAUAAAACGCAAUUUUGGCAAAUGGAAGCGAUGACUUGUCUCUUUUCUUUUUUUUUUUUUCUCUAUCCUGUAUUUUAUCACUGGAGUCGGUCAGCUGGGCAAUAAUUAUCGCCGGUGAGGAAAGUUUUCCAAAGCAUAAUAGUUUUUGGUCGGUCUAAAUGAGGAAGCUUCAGAGAAUCUAUAAUAGUUCAAACCCAGCACAAUACUGCUGUAUACACUAUACAGCAACAGUGAGGCAGCCGAGGACCGAGGUCAUCCAACGUGCAAAUUGAGAUUUCCUGUUCUCUUUUGGCUGCAGCAAUGGAAUGAAAGAACGAAUAUAUUAUUAAAUCUCAAGUGAGAAUUUUAUAGCGGCACCGUUGUGUUCUAUCUCACGUAGAUUCAGAAUUGGGAUUGGAACUGAAAUUAGGUUACGUAGAUUUUUUACUUUUUUUGGGUAAUUAAAUCCGGUGAAAUUCCUAUUUUCUAAAAUAAAAGAUAAAUGUUUUUGGGCAUAAAUAAUAGUAAAACAUAAGGGUAGAGCGCUGUAACCCUCGGCUCAUAAUUUACCAAGUCUUCCCAUCACCGAAUUUAUAGGGUCAUUUAGAUUGCAUUGCUAUCUCGCUGAUGGAUUUGUGACGCCACUUUUAGAGUCGAGAUUCAAAGAUGAAUGAAGCAACCGAAACUGAAAAACUCAUGACGGUGUCACACCUUCAUCUCAUCAUCCAUCCUCUUUUUUUUUUUUCUCUCUUUCUCUCUCUCUCUGUUUUUUUUUUUUUUUUGGGGAAAGAAAGAUCUGAUCAUCCAUCCAUCCACUGAAGCUGCAACCCUAUCGCUUAAAACGAUGACUGCCCGCCCCCUUUCUGUGCCAAAGGUGGAUCACUUGGCUAGGCUAGCCUUAUAUAAUUGACUAAAAAAGUUACUUAUAUAUAUAUAUAUAUAUAUAUGUCCGCCAAAAAAGGAAAGAGGAGAUGCCGCUUUGGCGGCUGCGGAUAAUGAAUGGAUUCGGAGCUUCAGCAAUGGCUAAUAUAUUUAAUUGCACCAUGUAAUAUAUAUAUAUAUGUCAUCAAUUACAGUAUGCAAUUGCUAUGACUUUCACAUAAAUAGACGAUAGUUGCUACUAUUUUUAAGUUUUUAGCGUUUGAGUUCUGCAAGUUGCAAAACGGUAGAAUAGAAGAUCGCAGGUCGGGUGACUUUCGUGAGGCAGGAAUCGUUAGGAGCACGCGAGUGGUGCUUUGGUUCUGCAAACUAAUUUUAGCGGCUCAAAAACGAGAACGUCCCUCUCCAGUCUCGACAAAUUUUUGGCGCAAGUUUGAGUGUCAAAAAACCUGACCACUUGAAUAAUAAAUUCCUUUUCCAAAAAAAAAAAAGAAAAGAAAAAAAAAGAAAGACAGAAAUGGUCCGGUCGCGAGGCGUGAUACGUGCGUAAUAAAGUUGCAAAAGCGGGAAUUGGCGCCAUCAAAAAACGCGGGUCUCGCGCGCAUAAAAUAUAGGGCAACUAGUUACCAGUUAUCAGGUAGAGUGAGUGUGCUAUCUCACUUGUCUAGUGACUGGUGAGUAAAAAGUAAGAACGUGCCAACAUGUGAUGGCUAACAUCAUUUUACGGACCAAAAGACGUGAUUCCCCUGCAUCCAACCCCCGCCCUGCCCUGCCCAAAACACUUGCAUUUCAGCGCUUCAACUUGCAUUUCUAGUUGGGCUAUCAUUUAUUGGCUUGUUAUCAGGAUUUUGUCUUUCUCAUGCACCUUUGUUUCCCCUCUCCUUUUGCACCCAAAUAGAACAUCUAGCCACUUGAUCUUUAAGAAUGACAACUAUCUAGGUUCGACAUUUUUCUAAUGAAUGGUUGUGAGUUUCGACCAAAAUUUAACCCCAAAAAAAAAAUAAUAAUAAUAAUAGUGAUAAAUUAUGAAAUUCUUUGCCUUCAUCAUCUUAAAGAAUCCAAUCUUAAUUUCCGUGGAUUACAGUUAAUUUACUUACAGAGUAGUAGUAGUAGUAGUAGUACAGUAUAUUUUACAGAAUUGGCCGCGAAGUAGUCAUGAAAAGCAUGUAUCACAUCUGUCCCGGUAUGGUGGGAUGCAAUCAGAUGGCGGCUGAGCAUAUGCAAGGGGCGUAUUAUGCGGUUAUUAAAGUGAAAAAAAAAAUUUUAAUCUUUUUUGCAGGCAGCUGAUUCUGAUUCUUGGGAAGGACUCAAAAAGUUUCUUAAUUCCUUGCCUUCCGUGCCCAUGAUGAGCCAUCACCGUCCACCGACGCCAAGGAAUUCUGUCCCAACAUGGUUCAGCUGAAGGCUCAAAGUGGCGGAGAACAAAGGCCAGUAUGUUUAGAUAAAAGAAACUAUGGCCAAAAACAACAUCCCAUACGAAAGAACAGGUCUCUAAACAUGUGGUGGGUCCCGCUCGCCUCACAUGAUCCAUGCUUUGAACCCAUCAUAUGCAACUAGUCAAUGAGCAUUUCUGGUUAGUAGUACUCAACACUCCAUUCCAAUGCAGACUAUCCAACCAAACUGCCUAAGUAAGCUGUAUAGUCUGGUAACAAUUUGGCAGCUUUUCUUUUCUUUUCUUUUCCUUCCCUUCACCAGAAGAAGCGGAUCAAGGGCUCGCUUUCUUCUGUUUCAGUCAGUUUCCUCGUGGUUUUUUUUCGUAUUUAAGCAAAAUCACGCGAUGAUGCUGUCUGUUGUUUUGUGCUUUUUCUUAAUUAGCAUGCACCGUACCGUUACCCCUUUUCCCUUUUUUGCUUUUUUCUUGGUGACCCGAUUUUUCUGCACUCAUAACGUGGCCGAUAAAUUCCAUGUACUGGGUACUAGAAUAGCAACCAAAACGACAAGAAGGUACCAGCAAAUGACCGAACCUAUGCUAGGCUAGCUGAAGAGAGGGUGAAUAACUCAGUGAUACAUGGCUGAAGAGACCAAACCUAGUUGAAGGUGCCUAUGAUUCAUUCUCGAAUUAUAAGGGAUGAGCUCUCUAGAGAAAUACUUGUUUUACGGGAAUUACGUGUAACAAUUCGAUAAUGAAAACAGGUUAUCUGAUCAACCAUUAUUCCUAUAUGGGACGAAGGAGAUAAAGUUCCACGCUCUAUCACCUAUCCCUUAAACCGUAUAACAGGUAAAUACCCUCGAACGUCGAAUGUGCAUCAUCUAUUGCCCGCUCCACUACUUGUCUCUUAUAACAGAGUGACCUCAAGAAUAACCCAAAAAACUGAUUUGACCGUUGGAGUUAGAGCUGCAAACGAACCAAACUGAUCGCGAUCGAGUCGAGCUGAUCAAGUUCGAAAAUACUAAAUUCGUUAACUCGUGAACCGGCACGAGCUCAAUUAUAUAUAUAAUUAUUUUAAUAGUGAAAUUACAUAUAUAUUUCUAAUAUUUUAUUAUUUGUUAAUAAAAAUUAUUAUUUUAUUCAAUUUUUAAAAAUAAAAUAAUUUUUUUUAAAAAGCUCAAGUUUGACUCGAAUUUGAGUUGAGGUCAAGCUUGACAUUUUGAGUUUGUUGAAUUCGAACUCGAGUUCGAGUUUUUGUAAAAUUAUAUUGAGACUCGAUUCGAUUAGAUUGAAACUCGAUUCGACUCGUCUCAUUUGCACCCCUAAUUAGAGUGACCUCCAGAAAUUAAACCUGGCCCUCUGUUAGUUCAUUAGUUCAUGCUUGGAGGUUUCUUGUGAGUGCAGUCCAUCUUGAGUCUGUUAGUUCAUCCUGAUCCUUGCAGGUUUCUUAUGAGUGCAGUCCAUCCUAAGUCAGUUCGCCCAUACUUUUUUGUGCUUCUACACUAGCUAUCCUAAUAUCCAUGAAUUAAAUUAGAAAAGAAAUGUAUUGCACCAAUCUGUGACCUGAGUUGGAAGAAAAUACGUAAAUCAAUUCAAUCAAAUCACUAUAUAUGUUGUAGCAUUUAUUUGCAUCAAAUGACCAACCAAUCCUUCAAUAAAAUUUGGCGUAACAAGUAUUUUCAGCCCAACUUAGACAUAAUUAUAAACACCUUUCAGGUGCCCUUUUGCCAUUUAGACAUUUAAGAAGUUCCUUGAAUUCUAAGAGAGUAGGAUUUUCACUAUUAGACUCGAAGACAUUCACCAGCUAGUUUGAACUUAACAAACACUCGUCCAGCUUAGCCAUCAAGCACGCAACUAACGAAAGUCAGCUCCAGAUUUAUCAAAUGUGAAUGCAAUUCCCAGCUGACCUUAUUCAAGUGCUUCUCAAGGAAAGGCACUGGUUUAAUGUGGAAUUAAUCAAAUCUACAAUGCGGCCUACUUACUUUAUUCCGUUGGUAUCAAAAUUAGUUAUGCCAUCGUUGAAUUGCCGAUUUAUUUCCAUCUCACUGGUGGAUACUAUUCUCCGGCAAUAUCAAAAAGAUACAUAGUGCUUACAAAACGAUCGGGAGGAUAUUGACAGCUGAACAGUUUAGGUAGGAAUUUUUUUUUUUGAAGAAAAUUUUGUAUAAGCAAAGGAAAAUUAAUUAGGUGAGCAAUGAUAUUUAGAGUCGGCGCCUCUCUAAAUUUAUGAAACGAUUUGCAGGUGUCGGUUAGGAAGGAGAUAGAGAUGAAGGAAGGUGUUUUUUUUUUUCCAGGUGUCGGUUGGGAAGGUGAGAGAUGAAGGAAGUUUGUUGCCGAGGCGCAUACGAAAUUAAGCACGUGCAAAUUCUUCCAAAAUUUAAACGAUUUUAGUGGGAAUACUGAACAAUUCCAUUCCUCAGUCUAAUUGCUAUUUUCAAGAUAAGCAACCUAUCCCAUUCUCAGAAUUAAAACAAAAACAAAAAACAAAAAGACAAAAAUCAUAAAUAUUGCCCAAAUCAGCAGAGAGCUAUGAAGAGGUGAAUUCUGACCGGUUGGAGUGAACCGAGAGCUGGAUGUGCUACAGCUGAAAAGGUCACAGCGAUCUUGGUCACCUGCUUAGGUUACAAGAGGGGCUGAAUCCCCCGGUAUAACUCCGAAACUUAAGUCAGUUCGGGAUUGGAAAAACAGUUUAAUAGUAGAGGAAAUCAGUGUAUGGUGUUUUACCAGAAAAAUGGUCAUCGCCUUUUUCAGUAGAAGUGUUGAGUAUUUAUAGAGGAUGGACAGGAAAGAGGGAUUGCUGGCACGGAUCCCUAAAGAUUUGGCAUGGGCAGUGCAUCAAGUUGAUUUUAUGGGCUCCUGCGAAAAGGCGCGCCGGAACAAUUGUCAGAGUCAGGCGGCGCAUGUGUCAGAGCAGCUUUGUCAGGUGUCAGAGGUCAUAUCCCACCUCUCCGGCGGUCAGACUUUUAGACGUCACUUCGGCUUUAUGACAGAAAAUCUUAGCCGAGGUGGUAUCGGGGCCGAAGUCACGACUCGAGGGGGAUUGCCGAGGCGGUGGUUCCAGAAGUAUCACAGGGUGAGGCCCCCGGACUAUCCGAGCUGGAACGACCAUCCUCAAGCUACAAAAAGUUUGCAACGCAAAUUGAAGUGGUAUAAUGUAGAAUAUCUCAUGUCAUGUUUGCAAUGCAAAUUUUUUCAAAAAAAAAAAAAUUUACAUAUUUUUCAAUCACUAUUUUAUCUGACAUAUAUCAAAUCAGCAUAAUUAAUGCAUCUUUCUACAACAACUUCAAAAAAAAAAAACAAUUUUCUACUAAUACCUUUCACCUAAACUAUACAAAAAACUGUUCUUCUUGUCAAUUCAUUCUUGGAUAAACGUUUCAUUGUACUUUUAUAAACAAGAACAAGCCAUCACACUCACCAGUCACCACUACGUAAGAAAUAAAGAAAUAAUCUUCAGAAAUCCUAUAAAUGAAAGCAAAUCAGUAAUUCACUACUGAAUUAAAUACAUACAACACCCUAUGGCGUGCGCAUUUAUGUCAAGGUCAAUUUCUUCCUGCCUUCCUUCUCUCUGUUUACUUUUCACGCUUUUGUAAAAAAUAAUAAAUAAUUAAAAGCAACAUAGUAGUGCUUCAGUUGUACUUAAAUUUGUGAGCCAACCUGGACGACUAAUCGUGUUUAGCUAGCUAGCAGUCGUCAAACUUCAACUUUCUUUUUGUUUCUUGCUGGCCCCGUUUUCUCCGGUGAGCUGUGAACGCUGAACCUUUGAGGUUAGGGAGAGGUCAAAUACCAAAUUCAAAUCAUCUGGACAUCAUUACGGAACUUUAACCAAGAGCAGCGUAAGGGCAAGACGUCAAGUAACUAACGGAAUGGUCAAAUCAUUUUCUUUCACUCAAAAAAAAUCAAGUAGUAGUAAUCUUUUUAAGCAAAGGCGGAAAAACAAAUGGAGUGAUAGACCAAUGAUAUUGUAGUGAUUGGCAAGUGGCGGGUGCCAAAAUCAAGUUGUGGUACCCAUCUACCUGACGAAGACUGGUAAAAACUCGAAACCUUUUCUGCGCUGUUUAGACCCGAUCAGCCGCCAUUCAUCUGCCCCUCUCCUCAACAUGCCAUGCUCCACCACGAGUAAAUCGUGACGACAUCGCUUAUGUCUUUACUUACUUUUUUGUUAUAUUUUGGCUCCCCAGUUAGUCCCUCGCCUUCAAUCAAAUGAAUAUUCCACCUUCGGAAUAUUCUUCUCUUCUAAACCUACUAAUUCGUUACAAAACAAUUUCUCUCCCUUUUUAAUCCUUAAACAAGUUUAAGUUCACGAAUACCGGACGAAAACAAGGAUGCAAGAGCAUAAUCGUCGUGAUCAUUGCCAAAAUGUUCUUACUUAACUCUCUUAUCUCUUUUUAAUUGGCGAAUUGCAAAGUUUUAUUGAGUCUGAAAUGGAGGAGAGUAAUUUGAAUUAAAGAAUUACCUCAAAAAAAAAAAAUAGCACAAUUGAAGCCGGAAUUGACGUAUGCUAUAGCACAUGAUCCGUGCUGCAUUAAUCAUAACAAAAAUGAAGCGGUGAUGGACUAAUAAUUUGGGUAGUUAUGUUAAUGGCAGGUUAACCGGUCAUUGGGAAUGAGGCUAAACCGUCACAAUCGAACCGGUGUGGGCUAUGGUUAAAUGAGAACGAUCCCAGUGAUUUCUUUCCCUUUGCCCAUCUCAACCACGUUUCUCAAAUUUCAGCAGAGCUGGGGCCGGCGGUACGCUGCUUCUGCUUAUUCUGUGGAGAGAAAUAUCCUCGACUAUCACGUGCAUUUUAUAUAUAAUCCAUCAACUAACGAGUCUUGCAAGAAAAAUAAAAGAGCUCAUGCGUCACCAAAUAUGUCAAAAUUAAUUCAACCACCACUUCAACUGUGUUGUACUAGUGGGAUAUUCCUUCCUAUAUAUACGAGUCCCCUGUUUAAGGCUGCUUGUUGCAUCCUCUUCACUUCUCUGUUUUCCCUCCUACUUCCGCAUCCCAAACUACAAACGCAAAUUCUAACGACUAAGCUAAAAAUUUUCAGCUUGAAUUCAACCUCGCAUCUGACGCUCCAAAAUGGAGUGGGUUCGCGGAGAUAUUCUUGGUCAUGGGAGCUUUGGUACUGUGAGUUUAGCAAAACCCGGAAGCAGCCGGAGCAGCUGUCAUAACAUUCCCGAACUGAUGGCCGUGAAGUCCUGCGGAGUUUCAUCCUCUGCUUCAUUGCUGAACGAGAAGGAAGUUCUCGACGGAUUCAAGGAUUGCCCUGAGAUAAUCCAGUGCUAUGGGGAUGGUCACAGUUUUGAAAAUGGCGAAAAAUUGUAUAAUGUGUUCUUGGAGUAUGCUUCUGGAGGGACUUUAGCAGAUAAGCUUAACAAUUCAUGUGAUCAUCGGUUGCCGGAAGAUGAAGUCCGGCGAUAUACAAGGGGUAUAUUAAGAGGGCUAAGACGUGUUCACGAGAAUGGUUUUGUUCAUUGCGAUAUUAAGCUUCAAAAUAUUCUUUUAGGCCAGGACGGGGCAGUAAAGAUUGGUGAUUUUGGGCUAGCGAAGAAAGAUGCAGAGGAAAAGGUGGGGUGUGAAUUGAGGGGUACACCUCUGUAUAUGUCGCCGGAGAUGGUAGCGGGAGGUGACCAGUCGUCGCCGGCGGACAUAUGGGCACUUGGCUGUUUGGUGGCAGAGAUGUUUACCGGAGUUCCGGCUUGGAGGUGCUCAGACGUUGCGGCGCUAUUGAUGAGAAUUGGGGUUGGUGAUGAGGUGCCUGAGAUUCCCGGGAAAUUAUCGGAGGAGGGAAAAGAUUUUGUUGGAAAGUGCUUCGUGAAGGACCCGAAGGAGAGAUGGACGGCUGAGAUGCUUUUGGAUCAUCCGUUUGUAUGUGAUCAUGAUGAUCGGGGUACUGUUACAUUCAAAGAAGUUCCUUCAACCUCUCCUAGAAGCGCGUUCGAUUUCCCCGAUUGGGUGUCGCAACAGUCGUCGCUCACAUUCUCAAUUACCUCCUUAUCCGCGCCGGAAUCUCAGUCUUGGGUCGACGGCCCAGAGUUGAAUACAUUUGACGGGUCAUGGUCCAAUUCGCCGGCGAAGCGGCUCCAGGGACUAGUUAAUGACCACCAACUUGAGUGGUUCGGUUCCGAUGAUUGGAUCACCGUCAGGUGAUGCAAAUAUUCUGACCGAAGCCAGAUUCAGAGUCCUGAAGAUUUUUUUUUUUUUUUUUUGGAGCUCUGAUUUUAUUUUUUUUUGGGUAAAUCUUAUUUUUGGCCAUUUCUAACUUUCUUGGGUUAGUUUUUUUCCAGUUAUCUUGAUGUACAUAAAAUUGGUAGAAAGGUUCAUGUACAGCAGGCAAGUUGCCUGGAGCCAUGACCUCAUUUAACGGUUGUGAUUGGAGAGUCAGUCGUCUGAGUGUACAGUGAUUAAAACUCGAAAUCAUUUAUAAAAAUUUCUUUAUUUAUUUGAAUCAAUAUUCUUGCGGCUACAAACUUCUCUUUUCUUGUUGCGGCUACAAACGUCUGAGUUGCAGUUGUGUCUGGACUCUGGAUUUAUUGGGCUAAAGUGAUAUUUUGCCCAGAAUCUGCGUAGCUUCGCAAUCACUCUGCCUCCCUCUCUCGCAAGUUGCAACUUUUAUUAAUCCUGGCCACUAGGCGGACGCAGACCCCAACAAAUGAUAUGCUCUUCCAUAAUGGCUCGUGCUAGGUUAAAAUAGUUACUUCUUGCUAUUAAUUGCAUCGGCAAAUUGAGAUGUCUUUUGUUCUUCCCCCGUUGAUGGUGGGAAACACUACUAGGUUGGUUCCUAAACUUCAUCAAACCAACCUUUUUUUGGUCAAGCACUCCAUCAGACUAACAGCACUAAAAAGUUUGGUGCCAGCAAAAAUGGCUUCCGCUUACAUCCACAAGGGCAGUGUGUUGCGUGUUAUUCUACACUGUAUGAUUGGGGGUUAAAGAUAUUCGCAUCAAUUGCUGAUAGGAAUAGUUGAAAUUAUAAGCUUAAUCACCUGGAGUUGUAGGUGAAUGUAUUAUUGGAGCCCACCGCGUGUCAAGGUUCAACUACUAAAUCAUGCAGUGUAGGACAUCAAAAAACAGCAGGGGAAAAGUGAUGAUAUAUAUAUAUAUAUAUAUAUAUAUAUAGGACUGUCAAUGGAGUCGAGGAUCGAUCUAAUCUUAAUUUCAACCCAAUCGACACUAUAAUUAAUUAACCGGUUGAGCUAGCGUCGUAUAUGGAUUUGACUGGGUAUGAGCUCAAAAAUAGGGUCAAUAUUAAAAUGGGUUGAACGUGAACAACACUAAGUUUAACCAUCUUUCAAUAUGUUUAAUGGAAAAAAAAAAUAUGCAAAUGUUUACUCAUUGUUUCAAAAUUUACUACUAUUUAAGAAAUGUGUACAAGUAAUUAUAAUAAAUCUUGUUCUUAAUAUAUUGAGCUUUGAUUUUAUUUAAUUAAUGUUUUGUAUUUUAUGAAAAAAGAAAAUUUCUAAAUAGGAAAUUGUUGAACUUAGGCCAGCCCCUUUACAAGGGCCAGUCUUGGGCUGUAAACUUUGAAACACAAAUGGAUUAAACCCAACAUUUUGUUAAAUUUUUUAUCUGGCCCGGAGCUUGGACAUUGCAGAACCCGAUCCAUUACAUCCAUUUGACAGGCCUAGACAAAUAGUAUAAUUCUAGGAUGCUCAUUCAAAAUGAUAUACGGUCAUUGCCAAGGAAAAUAUGAAAGUGGAAAGUUUUGAAAUUAUAAUAGGUCUAUCGAUAAACAUUACCGCUCAUAUAGUUAUUUACCAUUGUGGUGGUGUUCACUUUAUUUAUGCAAAUCGACAUUGACAAUUGCUGAGUGGCAGAAUGAUUUUUAUCGAAAUUAGAUCAACUGCCAUGGAUUUACUAUAUGCGCAACAAGUACCAUUCACCCGUACGUUGCACAAUUACUAAUUACCCUUGGACAGUUGUUUAACUUGAGGGCAUAUUCUCGACCGUUUAUAACAAGCUAAAGCAGAUCAUGCUAAAAUUAAAAAGAAAAUGUUGUAGAAAAACAGGCACCACUGGAUUGCUCAUUAAUCUUUCCAAUACACUAACAGGUGAAUGACAACUACGCAAAAUUUAAAUUUGAAAUUCAAUUUUUACAUAUGUGUCAUGAAUCCAAUGGUGACAGUGUAUGUACUAUCAGUAUAUAUGAGAUUUACUCUUAUUUUUAAAACCUGCGACACUAUCAAAUAGUUACUUUUUAACUUUUCAUGACCAGUCGAGAACAAGCUUUUUUUGUCAUCCUCCAGUCUCUCUCUUCAUUGUCAUUUUGCAUCUAUUAUUAUUAUUAUUCAUAGCUUUGUUAUUCAGUCUUUUGCCACGAAAACUCCGUAAGCGAGAGGAGAAAGAGAUCAUAGUCCCAUAUCCACCACAACCACAACCGAAAGAAAAAAUGCAAGUUAUCGAAAUGCACCCAAGUCGAUUAACCAAAGAAAAGGAGAAGACAAGACAGCUUCGAGCGUAACGGCAGAAUGAAAAUCAACAAAUUAACGACACUUCAUAAAGCCCAUAACUCAUCAGAAACCUCAGCUUCAGAAGAAGUGCUCAGCUCUUGAUUUCCAGCAUCUUGUCUGUAUCUGCAGUAUACCCUCAUUUCCUCCAAAAAAACAAAAUUAAAC